Molecule: ribosomal RNA, 406 nt
Filed under: uncultured bacterium
Lineage: Bacteria
Description: partial 16S ribosomal RNA
Rfam family: Bacterial small subunit ribosomal RNA
Source: RNAcentral
AUUGAACGCUGGCGGCAGGCCUAACACAUGCAAGUCGAACGAGUGGCGGACGGGUGAGUAACGUCUGGGAAACUGCCCGAUGGAGGGGGAUAACUACUGGAAACGGUCGCUAAUACCGCAUACCCUCAGAUGUGCCCAGACGGGAUUAGCUUGUUGGUGGGGUAACGGCUCACCAAGGCGACGAUCCCUAGCUGGUCUGAGAGGAUGACCAGCCAAACUGGAACGGAGACACGGUCCAGACUCCUACGGAGGGAAGAAGUGGGGAAUGUUGCACAAUGGGGGCAGGCCUGAUGCAGCCAUGCCGCGGGUAUGAAGAGGGCCUUCGGGUUGUAAAGUACUUUCAGCGGGGAGGCGUUACCCGCAGAGGAAGCACCGGCUAACUCCGUGCCAGCAGCCGCGGUAAUAC